This 579-nucleotide long non-coding RNA is filed under the name Salmo salar (Atlantic salmon). RNAcentral describes it as "lncRNA (ENSSSAG00000118726.1)". The record is from RNAcentral. Lineage: Eukaryota; Metazoa; Chordata; Actinopteri; Salmoniformes; Salmonidae.
GAGAGAGGGAGAGAGAGGGGAGGAGAGAGAGAGAGAUAGAGAGACAGAGAGAGAGAGAGGGAGAGACAGAGAGGAAUAGAGAGGAAUAGAGGGAGGGAGAGAGAGAGAGACAGAGAGAGACGGGAGAGAGAGAGAGAGAGAGAGAGCGAGAGAGAGGGAGGUCAGCCUCCCUGGUUUUGGUAACCAGGGAGGCUGACCCUGGCGAUGGUAACCAUGGAUGCUGACCCUGGCCAGACGUUUUGGUAACCAUGGAGACUGACCCUGGCCUGACGUUUUGGUAACCAUGGAAAUCUGCAUCUCAUCUCUAGCUGACACCUUUACUAACAGGUAUUGAUCCUACAGGUCAUCUCUAACAGGUAUUGAUCCUGCAGGUCAUCUCUAACAGGUAUUGAUCCUACAGGUCAUCUCUAACAGGUAUUGAUCCUACAGGUCAUCUCUAACAGGUAUUGAUCCUACAGGUCAUCUCUAACAGGUAUUGAUCGGUGUUCCUUCCACGGGACGGUUGAGCUAACGUAGGCUAAUGCGAUUAGCAUGAGAUUGUAAGUAACAAAAAAAUUUACCAGGACAUAGACAUAUCUG